This is a small nucleolar RNA of Balaenoptera musculus (blue whale), 129 nucleotides long. Ensembl annotates it as small nucleolar RNA, H/ACA box 30B. Its record names the gene SNORA30B. The record is from Ensembl. NCBI's taxonomy places the organism in Eukaryota, Metazoa, Chordata, Mammalia, Artiodactyla, Balaenopteridae.
CCAGCACAUUCACAGGUCCUCCCCCAGGCGGUGGGGGUAGGAUUUGGUAGCUGGUGCUGAGAGAAAACCUUUGGUGGCACCUUUGCCCUGGGACUGUGCCAGUGGCAGCUGUCACUCAAUGGGACAGAG